This 440-nucleotide ribosomal RNA is filed under the name Leptodactylus petersii (Peter's thin-toed frog). RNAcentral's name for it is "partial 16S ribosomal RNA". It matches the Rfam family "Bacterial large subunit ribosomal RNA", at positions 1923 to 2562 of the family's 2925-position model. Lineage: Eukaryota; Metazoa; Chordata; Amphibia; Anura; Leptodactylidae. The record is from RNAcentral.
UUCAACGGCCGCGGUAUCCUAACCGUGCGAAGGUAGCGUAAUCACUUGUUCUUUAAAUGAGGACUAGUAUGAAUGGCACCACGAAGGUUAUACUGUCUCCCCUUUCUAAUCAGUGAAACUAAUCUCCCCGUGAAGAAGCGGGAAUAAAACUAUAAGACGAGAAGACCCUAUGGAGCUUUAAACAAAUAAACAAUUGCCCAAAUCUAUUUAWUCCCCCGGGGCAAUCAMAUAUAUCUAGUCAUUUUGAUUUAUAGUUUUAGGUUGGGGUGACCGCGGAGUAAAAUAUAACCUCCAUGAUGAAAGGAACUUUUUUAACCACCCAAUUAAUUGAUCAACGAACCAAGUUACCCUAGGGAUAACAGCGCAAUCCACUUCAAGAGCCCCUAUCGACAAGUGGGUUUACGACCUCGAUGUUGGAUCAGGGUAUCCUAGUGGUCAGC